CCACUACCUAAGCAUACAUGCAUUUUGUUUCGAUACCAGUUUUAAUAUUCAUGCCUACCUAUAUGUAAUUUUCAAGUUCUGUCACAUGAAUCUUCUUACAUUUCACUUUUAAGAUUACACAUCAUUCCCUGAAACAUACUUUUUAAAGAAAACAAUAUCAGUAACACACUGUCUUCUUGUCAUAACAAUCACUACAAAAUCUACUAUAUUUUUCGAUGUCUCACUUGUGUCACGUAAAAUCACUACUAAAUGUAUUGGUGAUAGUUUUCGGCCAUCACACCCACCGUCCUAAAAAAUUUAUUUACGGUACCAAUUCCUCCGUCACACAAGAUCGUGUCUUAGGUGACGAACCCAAGAUUGUCAAUGAUGGCCGUUUUCGGCGAGUGGUGCGUCUUGGGCGCAUCUAUAAUUUUUUAUUGCUUCAUGCAAUUAUCUUACUACUUCUAUAUAUUUUUCGCAACAACUUAUAUUAGUUUCUGGACGAACUAAUUAAUCUAGUGCCCAGUGUUAGUUCCUUAUUUUGCAUGUUUUUUCUAUCGCGGAAAUCCAUAUUCAGGAGGAUCCAAACACCGUGAAAAUUUACGCAAGAAUCAAUGCAAGCCAUGGGGGCAUGAGCUUCACAAGCUCAGGGGGCGCCCCCCUAGGGCGCGCCAUGUACACUUUUAUCCAUGUCGUAAGUUGGUUGGAGGUGCCCUUUGGCUGCAAGGAAGUUAGCACUAAAGAAAUCAGGAAGUUUGCCAUCAUGCAAGUACAGACGGCAAAGGCUGAAGUACAGAUGGCAAAGAUUUUGCCGUCAGCCUGCUGACGGCAAAGAUUGUGGGCAAAGCUAAAUAGGCAAAGGGUACUUUGCCGUCAGCCAAACUACCUCUUUGCCAUCUUCCCUCUAACCCACAGGCGGCAAAUUAAAGUAUUUUUGCCGUAGGCAAUAAUACCUCUUUGUUGUCCUCCCUUGAACACAAAGACGGCAAACUUUUUUUAUUAUUAAAAAACAUGGAUGUUCGUUCUUGUUUGUAGGUUCGGCGUUCAUCAUGUUCAUGUACAUCAGUUCGUCAUCAUUGUCAUGCUUGGUGUUCGUGUCCAUAGUUGAAGUCGCACAAGAAUGGAGGAGACGCUGUUCGCCCUGCCUGCUCCUGCCCGCAACACCAAUCGAAGGGAGGAGACACUGGCGGCCCUUCCCUUACCAGCCUCCCGCGCCGUUCCGCACCGGCAGUGCCUUCUCUGCACGCCCGUCGCUCACGUCGCCCGCCCAACACUCGUGCUGCCCACCGUGCGUCGCUCGCAGCGGCCUCCCACGCAGGCCUCCCUGCUCGCAUCGGCCCGCAGAGGCACGCUCGUCCGCGCCCUGCUAGCGCUGCUUGCGCGUCGUUGAUAAGUCUCCGACGUAUCUAUAAUUUUGUAUUGUUCCAUGCUAUUAUAUUAUCAUUUUUGGAUGUUUUACAAUUAUUUUAUAGCAAGUUCAUAUCAUUCUUUGGGACUAACCUGUUGACUUAAAGGAAUCAAACAACUAGUUUAGAAUGUUAUAUUGUUAUUUUUGCUCUAUACAUGAUUUUACGUGUUGUGCUAAAGACUUUAAACACCUUCCCUAGCAAUGUGUGUUUAAUGAUGAUAAAAUCUCGACUUCUUAAGUUAAUGGUGUUUAUGAUUAUUAUGGUAUUAAACAGAUUGAAAAUUUGUUGUUUUCAAUUAUGAAAUUGCUUUUUUGCUUGAAAAAUAUGAAUCCAACUUAUACCAGUCUAUUAAUACUUAUAUUAAGUAAGUUUUCGUUGUUAAAAAAAUUUAGAUAAAAAGAUGAGUAGGAGAGUGAAGAACAAAAAGAGAAAUAACAAAUUGGCUAAAAAAUGUCAUGAAAUUUACACGAAAAUAAAUGUUUGUAAACGAAAAUAAAUUUACACAGGAAUUUUCGUUUGGACGAAAAUUGUAACAAGCGCUCGCCAGGAAUUCCGGGCAACGACGGCAACAACACACCUCACAAACUAGCUGCUGACUACUAUGGCUCGGCGUAGCGCUUGCCACACGGUUCCCGCGGUCACAUAGCAGCCGGUGCCAAAGAAGAUGCGGCCGCGUGCACAUCCUUUACCCUUUCGGCAUCGUCAAUUCGCCGGAUGACGGCCACUGCGCCAUGAAUGGCUUCGGCCUGACAUGAAUGGCGACGGCCACUGUGCCCAUGAAUUCCGAUAAGGGAGAAGAGUGAAGGAAUAGAGAGGUAGCAGCGUAUUACGUCGUCGUCGUCGUCGUCAUUGACGUUGACGAGGAAGAAACACGAUCCUGCCGAGUCCAAUGUCGCCAUCCCGCACGGCGGUGCAAACACGCCAUCGUCGAGCUGCCUAGGUCGUUGUGGUUAAUAAGAGACGCCGGAACAAAAACGCAAGUACUCCUUCCGUAAACUAAUAUAAAAGCAUUUAGAUCAUUAUUUUAGUUAUCUAAACGCUCUUAUUUUAGUUUACAUAGUACACCGUGACUGCGACUCGACCAUAUGUACAGACAUACCUGUUCCACAAUUCAGGUCGGCAUGUGGAGUACACCGACGAGGAUGAGCGCGUUCCCAGCUUCCUUGAAAGAACCCCCGCCUGGUUUAGCCUCUAUUUCAGUUCACCCGAGCUGUGCGACGCGUCGUAGGAGAGAGCUGUUCGGCAGUAGGAAAAAAGAAGCACGGUGGUGGCCAGCUAACUGAUAACACAUACAACCGACUCGCCAUGGUAUUUUCUAGGAAUUUUGGGGAGGGAAAAGAUGUAGGUGUCAACCCUAGCUUUCCCUCUCACUGGAGCGCGCUCUCUCUCUCUCUCUCUCUCUGUACUCUCGCUCGAACGAUCAGAGGAAGAAGAAAGGAGGGACACACGGGACACGGUGGAUUUCCGGCGCACAUUCGCCUGCUGCACGAACGGCAAUUUCCUCGAGCACGAACUCAGACUCCACGGCAAUUACAACGAUCGUCCAGGGGCUUUUAUACCUUGGCCGCGCUGGGGCAUGAUCCCGACGUUUCCUACCCAGCCGGGGGCCCGAUCAGCCCGCUCCGCUCGCGCCCACCAUGCGCACGUCCGCGAACGGGUCACGGCGAGCCCGCAGCGAUCUCCAACGCUCACCCCCAUGAUCAACUAACUGCCUAGACCUAGUCUUUACACCCGCCCGAGCUACGCACACACACACACGCUAUCUGGACACACCCCAGAUAAUGGCCAUAGCCAAGUCAGACCAUAUGCCCGGAC
Molecule: ribosomal RNA, 3203 nt
Filed under: Triticum aestivum (bread wheat)
Lineage: Eukaryota; Viridiplantae; Streptophyta; Magnoliopsida; Poales; Poaceae
Description: partial small subunit ribosomal RNA
Source: RNAcentral